UAGAUGGCAUCAUGAGGAAGCAGAAUUAUGUGGAUAUAUUGAAGAAACAUCUCAAGGCAUCAGUCAGGAAGUUAAAGCUUGGUCGCAAAUGGGUCUUCUAAAUGAACAAUGACCCCAAGCAUACUUGAAAAGUUCUGGCAAAAUGGCUUAAUGACAACAAAGUCAAGGUAUUGGAGUGGCCAUCAAAAAGCCCUGACCUCAACCCUAUAGAAAAUUUGUGGGCAGAACUGAAUAAGCAUGUGUAAGCAAGGAGGCCUACAAACCUGACUCAGUUACACCAGCUCUGUCAGGAGGAAUGGGCCAAAAUUCACCCAACUUAUUGUGGGAAGCUUGUGGACGGCUACCCGAAACAAUUUAAAGGCAAUGCUACCAAAUACUAAUUGAGUGUAUGCAAACUUCAGACCCACUGGGAAUGUGAUGAAAGAAACAAAAGCUGAAAUAAAUCACUCUCUCUACUAUUCUGACAUUUCACAUUCUUAAAAUAUAGUGGUGAUCCUAACUGACCAAAGUCAGGUAAUUUUUACUAUGAUUAAAUGUCAGGAAUUGUGUACCUGAGUUUAAAUGUAUUUGGCUAAGGUGUAUGUAAACUUCUGACUUCAACUGUAUAUACUAUUAUACUAUUAGUUAAUUUUAGUAUACUGUAAACGAAUGUUAUCCUUUCAGUUGAGCGUAGUAGCGCUACGCCUGUCUACCAGAAGUUGAUGCUGUUGCUAUGCAACAUUUUAUGACUUCAUUAACAAUGCCCACUGAGAACACACAAUGACUAUACCACUUAGCUAAGCUAACACGGAACCCAAACCGGCUGCGUGCGUGCGCCAUUGUGCAAAAAUGUAUUUUGUCCCCCUACACCAAACGCGAUCAGGACACGCAGGUUAAAAUAUCAAAACAAACUCUGAACUAAUGGCAUUAAUUUGGGGACAGGUUGAAAAGCAUUAAACAUGUAUGGCAAUUUAGCUAGCUAGCUUGCUGUUGCUAGCUAAUUUGUCCUGGGAUAUAGACAUUGGAUUGUUAUUUUGCCUGAAAUGCCACAACCGACUGGAGUGUGGACCUCAGUUCAUCUUUCAAUCGCCCACAUGGAUAUAUGGUCCUAAAACCAAUGAGGAGAUGAGAGAGGUAGGACUUGCAGCGCAUCGAGCGUCACAAAUAGAACCAGGUUCUGUUUUAGCGCCUGGCCACACUGACGCUCGUGAGCAGUGUGGGUGCAAUUAUUGAAUAACAUGUAUGUGUACAUUUAUUUUGCAACGCUCGCAAACGUGUCCGGUCUGGUGAGCAUGUUAUGGACAAGAUUGAAGAUAACUUGAUUCCAUUUUAGCUGUAACGACGUGCGCUGAGAGUCGGGAAGCAAGUUCAGGGAGUGAGUGUUUGAUAAUAGCUACCAUGAAUUUCCCUGCCUGGUACAAGAUAGCAAUAUGACAAUAGCUUUAGUACAUUAGUAAAAAAGCUGUGAAAAAUAAUGCAUUUUGACUCUUAGCUCAGCAUUCAUGGAAAAUAACUGUUGUGUACAUGUUUUUUCAGUAGGAUUCCAGAAGAGCCACAGACCGUCCAGGGGCACAGACAGGGGUGGAGAAAGAAUUGGACAGGAUAACCUUGAAAGGGCAGCCCGACAGCAAGAAGAGGCUGGUCGAGAUGAGGGCUAAAUUGCAAGAGCUGUCCUUUGACGAAAGGGAAGAGGUGCUGGAGCUGGCCGCUUCCCGUCUACCUGGAGUGAUUCUUUUUUUCCAUCAUGGAGUACCAGAGAGCUAUCCUAGGGUAUCUGGACAACCUCCCUGGUGCACCUGCAUGAAUUGCAGGGAGACUCCUGCAUCUUACAACACACAAUUGCUGCCAUUUCACCACUGCAACAUUCCAUGUAUUUAUUACCAAGCAUGUUUACAUAACAGGUUAACACUUUCCAUGACUACACAUUAAUGUGUUCUUCAUUUGGAUCCCAUUGAGGAAAAAUACUCAAUGGGGAUGUCUUGGUAAGUUGUGUUUUGUGAUUUUUUUCCUUGGUCUGGGUGAUAUCACUUUGUUAGAAUGUUUCCCUUACAUUGUGCUUUUGUUAUUUUGAGGAAGGUUACAGAGACUACCUUGUAUUCUUGUUUAUCUUUCUAAUAAAACUAUUUGAGCUGA
Long non-coding RNA from Oncorhynchus nerka (sockeye salmon), 2112 nucleotides. RefSeq lists it as uncharacterized. The transcript has 2 exons. NCBI's taxonomy places the organism in Eukaryota, Metazoa, Chordata, Actinopteri, Salmoniformes, Salmonidae. The record is from RefSeq and is a predicted model, not a curated record.